RNAcentral lists this long non-coding RNA (771 nucleotides) under Dromaius novaehollandiae (emu). Its description in RNAcentral is "lncRNA (ENSDNVG00000012963.1)". Lineage: Eukaryota; Metazoa; Chordata; Aves; Casuariiformes; Dromaiidae. The record is from RNAcentral.
UAUGUUGCAAGUAUUUUGAUAUUAUUCUUAAUAUUCCUAGAAGUACUUGCUCCGCAGCGCGUUCUGUGAUCUUAGCUAGGAAACACUGAAGGUUCAAACUGUUCCUCUGUUACAAAGCAAGUUUAUUAGUUAGCCUAAGGCACAAGAACUGGGCACCUACGCAAAGAGUAAUUGUCAGUAAUUGCAGUUGUCUCUGCCCUAAAGAGUUUUCACUCUAAAUGGAGCCAGGUCAGGGGAAAUUGGCAUAACAUACAUUCAAAUUGAAGGACGCAAUGAGGGAAGGGGCUAGUUCUACAGUUUUAAUUCUCAUUAAUUUCAUAUAUGUUCCUUUUCAAGACUGCAAUGCAUUAGUAACCUUUCUACUUCUCGCACUACCAUCUACUUGUGAAACUCUUACCAAGAAAUACAGUCUUGUUGUCACUGAAGGGUUUUGCAUAACCUGACUAUGUAUAUUGUCACUCUAUUCCUGCUAUUUCUGUUGAACACUUCACCUUACCCUAAUGUUUCUUCUUCAUGUACUCACCUGCAUGCCUGUCUCCUCAGACAUCCUUCAACCUUUGGAACAGUCUCUCUGCGAGCAAUUUCCCAAAUUGUAUUUACUGAUGCUGGGAAUCUCAGAGGUUAAAGGGUUUGCCAAAGAAGUACGAUGGGCACAAGAGAAGAAUGCCUCCCAACAACCUGAGACUUGCACGCAGACUGCAGGUAUCUUUUACAUUCUUCUCUGUUUGCAUCUGCUGCUAAGCAUGGGAAAUUACAGAAUUAGUCAGCUUC